This is a non-coding RNA of Oryctolagus cuniculus (rabbit), 1707 nucleotides long. The record is from RefSeq and is a predicted model, not a curated record. Lineage: Eukaryota; Metazoa; Chordata; Mammalia; Lagomorpha; Leporidae.
CGCCUGAAGUCUUUGAGAAGAAAAUCCACACUUAUAAAAAGGAAUAAUGGCAAUUUUUGUGAAAAACAUAAAGAUAUGGCUGAGUUCCAGAGAACAGAGACCCUUACACUUCAUGACUGACUGUGCUGGGACCACAUAGAUAAUUCGAGAGAACGUCUUCAUCACACAAUCCUCAGCUUCAUCACAUCUUCAAAAUUUUAUCUGCCAUAUCAGGCCACAAGUUGGCAAGUUUCAACAAGUGUCAUUUAAAAGGAUAAUUAUUCGUGUGUUGGAGGAAAACAUCUAUAUAUGAGCAAGGCCAGAGACAUGGAGCAGGAGAGUUGGCUCUGAGAAGUGUCAUUGUGCAUGGGGUCUGAAGAUGGCCAUAUCCUCCAACAAGGCUGAUGAUGACCAGUAUCUUCAAGUUACAGGAUUUGAAAGCAAACUUGAGUCACAUAUUGGACUCAGUAUAAUCAUAUACUGGAUUCUACACUGAUGAUAGAUAAAUUCAUGAGGAAUGCUUAUUUUAUCUUUAGCCAAUUUUAUCCUUUCCAUUAUAGGAAAAAGUCAAUUUUUCAUAAUUCUUAUUUCAUCUGGCAUUUUUUAAAUCAGUUUACUGCUGGACAUGUUUAUGGUAAGGGAAUCUCCUUACCUUCCAUAAAUCAAGAGUACAACUUGACACCUUAGAUUAAAAAAAUCUUGCAGUUUAAUCCUUUAUGGGCAAUGUUACAUGAAUAACUUAAUUAUCCUGUCUUGAUAUGUAAUACAAGUUUUUUGACAAGGAUGUAAAUGUUGACAAGAAUAAAUAUUCUAUAAAAACUAUUAUAAACAGGGAUAACCAAAGUACCUAGAAUUAUAUUUGUAGUAAAGAAUCUGUUUAGUCGAGAUUGACUCAUUGCAUGAUAAAUUUUAGACUAUAAAAUAUUAAAAUUUGCACUGCCUGAAUAUGUAAAUUAGCAAUCUCUUUCACCCCUGGGCACUUCCAUCCAUCCUUGGUAGCAUCCUAUGAUGCCACCAUCUGGCUGCUCCCAUUUAUGCAGUUUUCAGCAAGGAUUUCAUAGGAAAACUCAGUGAACUUGGCAAGAUGCUAAACACAGGGAAGAACUUACUCCCAUUCCUUAAGAAAAGCUUAGGGAGCCUUAAGAUCCAUCAGAGUUUUAGGGUAUCAAAUUAGGCAAGUUGACAUUAAGAACUAUGAAUACAAGGAAUGAAUAAGAGAGAGUCAGGAAAGAGAAACAAAAGAAUGAAGGAAAUAAUGCCCUAAUUGGUGAGCUAAGGCAUGCAAAGUAAGUAAGUUAAAGCAAUACGGAAGAAAAUAAGGCAAUGUAAAAUAAAAUGCAGUAAGCUUUGUAGCAGUUUGUAAUAAAUGCCAUGUUAGUAAAGAUACUGCCUAACUUGGUCCAGAAGACACAUUGGAUAAAUAUUGAAACCUUUUAAGAGUAAAAUUGUCAAUCUGAACUGUUUGAGGUCAAUUCCCUGUUUUCUUUUUCUGUCAUUUGUUAUGCACUCUCAACAAUCAGUCCACCUUUUCUUACUUACAGGGCAUCAUUUUAUUUAGUAUCCUAGCAUCUUCCAUGGUAGUUAUGUGAUUCAAUGGACAUGCAUGACCAUCUUGCAUGCUACUACACCAUUUCAGAACGAACAUAUUAACAGUUCUGAACUUUAAGACAUCCAAGAAUGCUGGAAGCUUCUGGCAAAAUAUCUUUUUCUUUUUUUUCUUUUUUUUUU